GUUGAACGCUGGCGGAAUGCUUUACACAUGCAAGUCGAACGGUAGAGGGGGCAACCCCUCGAGAGUGGCGAACGGGUGAGUAAUAUAUCGGAACGUGCCCAGUCGUGGGGGAUAACGUAGCGAAAGUUACGCUAAUACCGCAUACGAUCUACGGAUGAAAGCGGGGGAUCGCAAGACCUCGCGCGAUUGGAGCGGCCGAUAUCAGAUUAGGUAGUUGGUGGGGUAAAGGCCCACCAAGCCUACGAUCUGUAGCUGGUCUGAGAGGACGACCAGCCACACUGGAACUGAGACACGGUCCAGACUCCUACGGGAGGCAGCAGUGGGGAAUUUUGGACAAUGGGCGAAAGCCUGAUCCAGCCAUUCCGCGUGUAGGAUGAAGGCCCUCGGGUUGUAAACUGCUUUUGUACAGAACGAAAAGGUUUCUACUAAUACUAGGAGCUCAUGACGGUACUGUAAGAAUAAGCACCGGCUAACUACGUGCCAGCCGCCGCAGUAA
Molecule: ribosomal RNA, 496 nt
Filed under: uncultured bacterium
Lineage: Bacteria
Description: partial 16S ribosomal RNA
Rfam family: Bacterial small subunit ribosomal RNA
Source: RNAcentral